RNAcentral lists this ribosomal RNA (485 nucleotides) under uncultured bacterium. RNAcentral's name for it is "bacterial SSU rRNA". It matches the Rfam family "Bacterial small subunit ribosomal RNA", at positions 30 to 507 of the family's 1533-position model. The record is from RNAcentral.
AUUGAACGCUGGCGGAAUGCUUUACACAUGCAAGUCGAACGGCAGCAUAGGUGCUUGCACCUGAUGGCGAGUGGCGAACGGGUGAGUAAUACAUCGGAACGUGCCCAGUCGUGGGGGAUAACGUAGCGAAAGUUACGCUAAUACCGCAUACGAUCUACGGAUGAAAGCGGGGGACCGUAAGGCCUCGCGCGAUUGGAGCGGCCGAUGCCUGAUUAGCUAGUUGGUGGGGUAAAAGCCCACCAAGGCGACGAUCAGUAGCUGGUCUGAGAGGACGAUCAGCCACACUGGGACUGAGACACGGCCCAGACUCCUACGGGAGGCAGCAGUGGGGAAUUUUGGACAAUGGGGGCAACCCUGAUCCAGCAAUGCCGCGUGAGUGAAGAAGGCCUUCGGGUUGUAAAGCUCUUUUGUCAGGGAAGAAACACCGGCUCUAACACAGUCCGGGAAUGACGGUACCUGAAGAAUAAGCACCGGCUAACUACGUG